UACGUGAGGGGCGACCGUUGUUCGGUGUCACUGGGCUUAAAGGGCGCGUAGGUGGCUGCGUAAGUAAGGUGUGAAAGCCCUCGGCUUACCCGGGGAAUUGCGCCUUAUACUGCGUGGCUUGAGGAUCUCAGGGGAAUGGGGAACUCCAGGUGUAGCGGUGAAAUGCGCAGAUAUCUGGGGGAAGGCCGGCGGCGAAGGCGCCAUUCUGGGAGAUUCCUGACACUGAGGCGCGAAAGCGUGGGGAGCAAACAGG
This 253-nucleotide ribosomal RNA is filed under the name uncultured bacterium. RNAcentral's name for it is "partial 16S ribosomal RNA". It matches the Rfam family "Bacterial small subunit ribosomal RNA", at positions 524 to 776 of the family's 1533-position model. The record is from RNAcentral.